UACGCAGGGUGCGAGCGUUGUCCGGAAUUAUUGGGCGUAAAGGGCUCGUAGGCGGUCUGUCGCGUCAGGAGUGAAAACUCGGGGCUCAACCCCGAGCCUGCUUCUGAUACGGGCAGACUAGAGGUAUGCAGGGGAGAGCGGAAUUCCUGGUGUAGCGGUGAAAUGCGCAGAUAUCAGGAGGAACACCGGUGGCGAAGGCGGUUCUCUGGGCAUUACCUGACGCUGAGGAGCGAAAGCGUGGGGAGCGAACAGG
Molecule: ribosomal RNA, 253 nt
Filed under: uncultured bacterium
Lineage: Bacteria
Description: partial 16S ribosomal RNA
Rfam family: Bacterial small subunit ribosomal RNA
Source: RNAcentral